This 484-nucleotide ribosomal RNA is filed under the name uncultured bacterium. RNAcentral's name for it is "partial 16S ribosomal RNA". It matches the Rfam family "Bacterial small subunit ribosomal RNA", at positions 29 to 507 of the family's 1533-position model. The record is from RNAcentral.
AGUGAACGCUGGCGGCAGGCCUAACACAUGCAAGUCGAGCGGCAGCGGGUCCUUCGGGAUGCCGGCGAGCGGCGGACGGGUGAGGAAUGCGUCGGAAUCUGCCUUUUUGUGGGGGAUAACGUAGGGAAACUUACGCUCAUACCGCAUACGACCUACGGGUGAAAGUGGGGGACCGCACGGCCUCACGCAGAAAGAUGAGCCGACGUCGGAUUAGCUAGUUGGCGGGGUAAAGGCCCACCAAGGCGACGAUCCGUAGCUGGUCUGAGAGGAUGAUCAGCCACACUGGAACUGAGACACGGUCCAGACUCCUACGGGAGGCAGCAGUGGGGAAUAUUGGACAAUGGGCGCAAGCCUGAUCCAGCCAUGCCGCGUGUGUGAAGAAGGCCUUCGGGUUGUAAAGCACUUUUGUCCGGAAAGAAAUCCUGUCGGCUAAUACCCGGCGGGGAUGACGGUACCGGAAGAAUAAGCACCGGCUAACUUCGUG